CACAUUUUGUAGAAGUUGAUGGAUUAAGAAAAAGAAGUUGCAUUUUAUUACCUAUCCUAAAGAUAGAAGGUGAUCUGAACAUUCUAAUAUCACUUGCCAAGACUGUUGGAGCAUGGGGAAGAGAGGUUCCUCGCAUGACUGACAGCUUAGAAGCCAGAGGUCAAGGGAGCCUAUCGAUCAAUGCACUCCACGCAAAUAUGUCCCAGGAGCAGGAUAGAACAAGGUGUAAAAGGGUGGGACUCUAUCUAGAGGGGCAAAAUGAAGAUAUCGAACACAUUGACAUGAAUAAAAUAUG
This 295-nucleotide long non-coding RNA is filed under the name Homo sapiens (human). RNAcentral's name for it is "HSALNT0034617". Lineage: Eukaryota; Metazoa; Chordata; Mammalia; Primates; Hominidae. The record is from RNAcentral.